This 852-nucleotide ribosomal RNA is filed under the name uncultured bacterium. Its description in RNAcentral is "SSU rRNA". It matches the Rfam family "Bacterial small subunit ribosomal RNA", at positions 524 to 1381 of the family's 1533-position model. The record is from RNAcentral.
UACGGAGGAUCCAAGCGUUAUCCGGAGUCAUUGGGUUAAAGGGUCCGUAAGUGGACGGUUAAGUCAGAGGUGAAAUCCUGCAGCUCAACUGUAGAAUUGCCUUUGAUACUGGUCGUCUUGAGCCAUUGUGAAGUGGUUGGAAUAUGUAGUGUAGCGGUGAAAUGCAUAGAUAUUACAUAGAACACCAAUUGCGAAGGCAGAUCACUAACAAUGUACUGACACUGAUGGACGAAAGCGUGGGGAGCGAACAGGAUUAGAUACCCUGGUAGUCCACGCCGUAAACGAUGGUCACUAGCUGUCCGGACCUUGUGUCUGGGUGGCUAAGCGAAAGUGAUAAGUGACCCACCUGGGGAGUACGUUCGCAAGAAUGAAACUCAAAGGAAUUGACGGGGGCCCGCACAAGCGGUGGAGCAUGUGGUUUAAUUCGAUGAUACGCGAGGAACCUUACCAGGGCUUAAAUGUAGUGGGACAGGUCUAGAGAUAGGCCCUUCUUCGGACUCAUUACAAGGUGCUGCAUGGUUGUCGUCAGCUCGUGCCGUGAGGUGUCAGGUUAAGUCCUAUAACGAGCGCAACCCCUGUUGUUAGUUGCCAGCGAGUGAAGUCGGGAACUCUAACAAGACUGCCGGUGCAAACCGUGAGGAAGGUGGGGAUGACGUCAAAUCAUCACGGCCCUUACGUCCUGGGCUACACACGUGCUACAAUGGCCGGUACAGAGAGCAGCCACCCCGCGAGGUGGAGCGAAUCUACAAAACCGGUCACAGUUCGGAUCGGAGUCUGCAACUCGACUCCGUGAAACUGGAAUCGCUAGUAAUCGCAUAUCAGCCAUGAUGCGGUGAAUACGUUCCCGGGCCU